Molecule: non-coding RNA, 2825 nt
Organism: Phoenix dactylifera (date palm)
Lineage: Eukaryota; Viridiplantae; Streptophyta; Magnoliopsida; Arecales; Arecaceae
Source: RefSeq, a predicted model, not a curated record
ACUCGUAUGGUCCUGCAUAGCCGCUGACUAAAAGAAGCACAGGUCCAUCUCCCACUGUCACCACCAGUUUCGCCACCGCGACCGUCGCCAUGCCUUCGCUAGCCGAUCGGUCUCCGCCGAUCCUCCUCCUCCUCCUCCUCCUCCUCCUCCUCCUCCUCCUUCUCUUCUUCUCCGCCGCCUCCGCCUGGAAGAAGGACGAGUUCCGGAACUGCGAGCAGACCCCCUUCUGCAAGCGCGCCCGCGGCCGCAAGCCCCACUCCAUCCCCUCCCUCUCCGCCGCCGACGUCUCCCUUUCCGAUGGAGCCGUCUCCGCCCGCCUCCUCCCAUCCCAGCCCCUCCGCCAGGCCACCGCUGGCGACGACCCCGAGUCCGACCGCGAUCCCCCCCGGCCCCUCCUCCUCCGUCUAUCCGUCUAUCCGGGCGGCGUCCUCCGCCUACAGAUCGACGAGGACCCCUCCGCCCCCCGCCGUCGAUUCCAGGUCCCCGACGUUCUCCUCCCCGACCUCGACAACCGCCGGCUCUGGCUCCCCCGCCUCUCCUCUCCCGCAGCCGGUUCCUCCUCCUCCUUCUACCUGGCCGACGGCUUCGAGGCCGUCCUCAUCCACGACCCCUUCGAGAUCCAAGUCCGCUGGAAGGGAUCGGGCGAGCCGGUCCUUUCCCUCAACUCCCAUGGCCUCUUCGACUUCGAGCAGCUGAGGGCCAAGAAGAACGAUGACGAGGACUGGGAGGAGCGGUUCCGCGGCCACACGGACACCCGGCCCCAUGGACCCCAGUCCAUCAGCUUCGACGUCUCCUUCCAUAGCGCCGACUUCGUCUACGGCAUCCCCGAGCACGCCUCGUCGUCCCUUUCUCUCCGCCCCACCAGCGGCCCUGGCGUCGAGCACUCCGAGCCUUAUCGUCUCUUCAAUCUUGAUGUCUUCGAGUACGUUGCCGAUUCCCCCUUUGGGCUCUACGGCGCCAUCCCCUUCAUGCUCUCCCACGGCGCCGGAUCCUCCUCCGGCUUUUUCUGGCUCAAUGCCGCCGAGAUGCAAAUCGACGUCCUCGCUCCCGGAUGGGACGACCCGGCCGCGCCGGCAAAGGGGAGGAUCGACACUUUGUGGAUGAGCGAGGCCGGGGUCGUCGAUGCCUUCUUUUUUGUCGGGCCCGAGCCUAAGGACGUUCUGCGGCAGUACACCGGCAUCACCGGGACCCCCGCGAUGCCGCAGGAGUUCGCUGUGGCUUACCAUCAGUGCCGGUGGAACUACCGGGAUGAGCAGGAUGUUGCGGCCGUGGAUGCUGGGUUCGAUGAGCAUGAUAUACCAUAUGAUGUGCUGUGGCUUGACAUCGAGCACACUGAUGGGAAGCGGUACUUCACGUGGGAUCGGGUGCUGUUCCCCAACCCCAAGGAGAUGCAGGAGAAGCUGGCGGCGAAGGGGAGGCAUAUGGUGACAAUUGUCGACCCUCACAUCAAGCGGGAUGAUUCUUUCUACAUACACAAGGAGGCCACCGAGAGGGGUUAUUAUGUGAAGGAUGCCACAGGGAAGGAUUUUGAUGGCUGGUGCUGGGCGGGUUCCUCGUCGUAUGGGGAUGUUUUGAAUCCAAAAGUGCGGGAAUGGUGGGCUGAGAAGUUCUCCUUCCAGAAUUAUGUAGGUUCAACUCCCACGUUGUACAUAUGGAACGACAUGAAUGAGCCUUCAGUCUUCAAUAUCCCUGAGAUUACCAUGCCGAGGGAUGCCAUACAUUAUGGAGAUGUAGAGCAUAGGGAGUUACAUAAUGCCUAUGGAUACUACUUCCAUAUGGCUACAUCAAAUGGACUUCUAAAGCGUGGUAAUGGAAAGGAUAGGCCAUUUGUCUUGUCAAGGGCUUUCUUUGCUGGAAGUCAACGAUAUGGUACAGUUUGGACUGGAGAUAAUUCUGCAAAUUGGGACCAACUCAGAGCUUCAGUUCCCAUGAUUUUAACACUUGGUCUUACUGGCUUGUCAUUCUCUGGUGCGGAUGUUGGUGGAUUUUUUGGCAACCCAGAACCUGAACUCUUAGUGCGUUGGUACCAAUUGGGUGCUUACUAUCCUUUCUUUAGAGCUCAUGCCCAUCAAGACACUAAAAGACGGGAACCUUGGUUAUUUGGGGCCUUUUGUUUCAAUAGGAUUCCCCUAUGUUGACCCCAGCAUGUCAAUACUUGACAUUGAGGUCUCUUGGUGCUCCGGCUGUUCUUUUAUCGUUGGCCAUGCAAGGGGUCUUUCGAGGAUUCAAGGAUACAAGAACUCCUUUAUAUGCAACUGAAUGGUAUGGUACAGCACCAGAAUUGAUGGUCUGUACCAAAUUGAAAACAUGAAAAUUGAAAGAUGUUGGUACGGCUGGUACGGACAGAGGUUUUGGUGUCCCGGACCCAUAUUGUUGCCGGGUUCGUGUUGGAAUGGUAACGGUACCAUGUUACCAUCCCUUUCCUAUGGUUUUGUAUCCGUGUUUCUUUUCUUGCCGCUACAUUGUCCUUUAUAAUGGGUGACAUUCAAAAAUUUCUUCUCUUUAUUCAUAGUAUUACUAUUUAAUCAAUAUGUAUGGAUCAGGUGAUCAACAAAUGCACAUUCAUUCAAAGGUAUGGAAUUGUAAUACCAUUCUACUACUUUCUUUGUUAUCAUUGGCAGUUUUCUUAUAACUUACAGCAGACAUUACAUAUCUAAUUGAGGAUGAUUAACAGAAGUGGAAAGUGCAUUACUUUCAUUGAGGAGAUCUUCAUGUAUUAAAUUUAUUGUGGCUGGAGAUGCGACCAAUAUAAUCUUGGAUCCCAUAUUUAUGUUUACUUUCCAGUUAGGUGUCAGUGGCGCAGCUAUUGCUCAUGUUAUUUCUCA